Molecule: microRNA, 22 nt
Filed under: Bombyx mori (domestic silkworm)
Lineage: Eukaryota; Metazoa; Arthropoda; Insecta; Lepidoptera; Bombycidae
Description: bmo-miR-2780a-3p
Source: miRBase by way of RNAcentral
AAUCGUUUGAAUGCUCGUCUAA